RNAcentral lists this ribosomal RNA (253 nucleotides) under uncultured bacterium. Its description in RNAcentral is "partial 16S ribosomal RNA". It matches the Rfam family "Bacterial small subunit ribosomal RNA", at positions 524 to 776 of the family's 1533-position model. The record is from RNAcentral.
UACGAAGGGGGCUAGCGUUGCUCGGAAUCACUGGGCGUAAAGGGCGCGUGGGCGGCCAUUCAAGUCGGAGGUGAAAGCCCAGGGCUCAACCCUGGAAUUGCCUUCGAUACUGUUUGGCUAGAGACCGGAAGAGGUAAGUGGAACUGCGAGUGUAGAGGUGAAAUUCGUAGAUAUUCGCAAGAACACCAGUGGCGAAGGCGGCUUACUGGUCCGGUUCUGACGCUGAGGCGCGAAAGCGUGGGGAGCAAACAGG